This 460-nucleotide ribosomal RNA is filed under the name uncultured bacterium. RNAcentral describes it as "partial 16S ribosomal RNA". It matches the Rfam family "Bacterial small subunit ribosomal RNA", at positions 338 to 795 of the family's 1533-position model. The record is from RNAcentral.
CCUACGGGUGGCAGCAGUGAGGAAUAUUGGGCAAUGGACGCGAGUCUGAACCAGCAACGUAGCGUGAAGGAAGACUGCCUUAUGGGUUGUAAACUUCUUUUAUAAAGGAAUAAAACGAGGCACGUGUGCCUUUUUGCAUGUACUUUAUGAAUAAGGAUCGGCUAACUCCGUGCCAGCAGCCGCGGUAAUACGGAGGUUCCGAGCGUUAUCCGGAUUUAUUGGGUUUAAAGGGAGCGUAGAUGGGUUGUUAAGUCAGUUGUGAAAGUCUGCGGCUCAACCGGAAAAUUGCAAGUGAUACUGGGAGUCUUGAGUACAGAUGAGGUAGGUGGAAUUCGUGGUGUAGCGGUGAAAUGCGUAGAUAUCACGAAGAACUCCAAUGGCGAAGGCAGCUUACUAAACUGCCACUGACAUUGAUGCUCGAAAGUGUGGGUAGCAAACAGGAUUAGAUACCCGUGUAGUC